RNAcentral lists this ribosomal RNA (425 nucleotides) under uncultured bacterium. RNAcentral describes it as "bacterial SSU rRNA". It matches the Rfam family "Bacterial small subunit ribosomal RNA", at positions 356 to 773 of the family's 1533-position model. The record is from RNAcentral.
GGGGAAUAUUGCACAAUGGGCGCAAGCCUGAUGCAGCCAUGCCGCGUGUAUGAAGAAGGCCUUCGGGUUGUAAAGUACUUUCAGCGGGGAGGAAGGUGUUGUGGUUAAUAACCACAGCAAUUGACGUUACCCGCAGAAGAAGCACCGGCUAACUCCGUGCCAGCAGCCGCGGUAAUACGGAGGGUGCAAGCGUUAAUCGGAAUUACUGGGCGUAAAGCGCACGCAGGCGGUCUGUCAAGUCGGAUGUGAAAUCCCCGGGCUCAACCUGGGAACUGCAUUCGAAACUGGCAGGCUAGAGUCUUGUAGAGGGGGGUAGAAUUCCAGGUGUAGCGGUGAAAUGCGUAGAGAUCUGGAGGAAUACCGGUGGCGAAGGCGGCCCCCUGGACAAAGACUGACGCUCAGGUGCGAAAGCGUGGGGAGCAAAC